Molecule: transfer RNA, 74 nt
Filed under: Coriobacteriales bacterium
Lineage: Bacteria; Bacillati; Actinomycetota; Coriobacteriia; Coriobacteriales
Description: tRNA-Gly
Rfam family: tRNA
About the family: Transfer RNA (tRNA) molecules are approximately 80 nucleotides in length. Their secondary structure includes four short double-helical elements and three loops (D, anti-codon, and T loops).
Source: RNAcentral
GCGGGUGUAGCCAAGUGGUACGGCAAUGGCUUCCCAAGCCAUGAUCGCGGGUUCGAGUCCCGUCACCCGCUCCA